GAUGGGUAAAUUACCUAAUGCAAACCCCAUGCCACCGCCUUCUUUUUUCUUUGAAAACCCGUUCUCUCUCUACUCACCAGUCACCAACCACCACACACUCACUUCACCGCAGCCGCCGGCAUCAAUAACCCAUCUCCGGUGAAAACCCCUACCACCACCAAUCGCCUCCAAACCCAUCUCCGGUGAGUUGAUCAACCAGCACUCUUAUUUUUAUUUCAUCCGUAUAACACUUGUCAACAGUAACGAUUUAAUAAUAAGAGGAACACAAUGCCAGCAGUUUACUUCAUCAGUGAUUUCAUACCCACAACCUUUUUGAGCAAUUUCACCCUCCUGUUUAGAGGAUCUAGUGCUACUACGAGUGACCCUCGGCUCUUGUGGUAAUGUUUCAGCAGCUUUCUUUUUCGUUGGAGUAUGAUUGCUUGAUUCCCACGAUCAGAUGAAAUGUUGACACAAAACAUUGUGUGGCUUGGGGCUGUUUCCUUAGGGUCACUAGAACCCUUCAGUUUUUCAACAUCAGGUCUAUAUAAUUCUUCCGCUUUUGAUGAAUGCACACCUUUAAUUACCCGUGCUACUUAAACAGCUAUAUAAAUCCCCAAGUUCUUGGUCAGCUGUAGCUUCCAAGAUUGAUUUGCACUUUAAGCAACAAACGAGACUGGAGCUGUUUCGUUUUCAGCUGAAAGCCAACGUUGUUGUUUCAUGUAUACUUUUCCUGGCCUAAAAACAAAUUAAAAUUCAGUUGGCAGCCGCCACGGAAGCUUUGGAGAUUAAAAGAUAUCUUUUCGAAAGCCCAGAAGCAAAUAUAGGGCUAGAUGGGAUUUCAUUCUUGCAUAUAUGAGUUGAUGAUACGUGCUUAUACCAACAAAAAGGUUUCAAUGAGUGUUUGGCCAAGCUUUGACAAUCUAAAAGCCUUAGCCUUCAUGAGUAGAUGAGGCCUUCAUUGUUACAUUUUCAAAACAUUGCGAAUUAUCAAAGUUUGUGGACUUGGAAAGGUGUAUGAAAAAAUCAAAAGCACUAGAAGUUGAUUUUCAACAGUUUCGUUCAACCAUCGCUACUUUAUCUUUCCUAAAUUUUAGCAACCCUUAUCGUGCAAGAAAGGGCUACAUGGGAUUUCAUUCUCACAUAUAUGAGUUGAUGAUAGAUGCUUAUACCAACAAAAAGGUUUCUAUAGAUGAGUGUUUGGCUAUGCUUUCGCAAUCUAAAUGCCUUAGCCAUGCAUUUUGCACUUCACGAGUAGAUGAGGCAUUCAUUGUUACACUUUCAAAACACUGUAAAUCGUCAAAGUGUGUGGACUUGGAAAGGUGUAUGAUUAAAAAAACACUAGUAUUUGAUUUUUAACAGUUUCGUUCAACCAUCUUUACUUUAUCUUUCCCAAACUUUAGCAACCUUUAUCGUGCGAGCAAGGUUCAUUUCUAGUCAUCCUUAUGAUUAUUUUUUUAUUUGUUUGGUGUGCCUCGUUGUUUAUGAUGUCUUUUGUUGUAGGGCUACAUGGUAUUUCAUUGUCGCAUAUAUGAGUUGAUGAUAUGUGCUUAUAACACCAAACAUGUUUCUAUAGAUGAGUGUUUAGAUGCUUUCGCAAUCUAAAAGCCUUAGCCAUGCCCUUUGCACUUCACGAGUAGAUGAGGCAUUCAUUGUUACAUUUUUAAAACACUGCGAAUCGUCAAAGUGUGUGGACUUGGAAAGGUGUAUGAAAAAAUCAAAAGCACUAGAAGUUGAUUUUCAACAGUUUCGUUCAACCAUCUCUUCUUUAUCUUUCCCGAACUUUAGCGAUCUCGAUCAUGUGAGAAAAUUUUCACAUGCAAUAGAUGAUGAUAUCAAGAAGACUGCUUCUAAGCUCAGCCACAGUGUAUGGUUUUUGUAUUUUGGUUUUGCUAGAGGUGGCAAGAUGGGCGGCUUGAUUAAUGUGUCAAAAUGGGUUUGUGGCGGUCCAGUUUGCUGAUUGAUUAUCUUUCACGAAGUGGAACACCUAGAUAUGCUCAUUGGUGAAUCCGGGAGUCAGAAACGUAGACAUAGGGUUAAGAGUAUCCAUAUGCGUCCUUCGGUUGCAACAACUUGGUCAAAUGCUAAGGAUAUAAGCUACUUUGACUUUACUCCGACGCCAUGGAAUGUGCUUUCUUGUUAUCUUGAAAGCCUCCUUCAGUUAGGAACUAUCAAAGAGAUUGCUGGAAGCGGUUCUAAGGUUGAAGAUGUUUUAAGUCAUGGAAAUGAUAUUACUAUUUUACAAGGCUUGCCGAUCUUCAUAGAUAGCUUCCAUACAGCCAUACUACCUUAGUUGACAAGUGUUAUACUGAUGAAAUGGGAGUGCACCCGCACGCAGCUCUUGUUCAAACUUCUCAUUGGGUUAGGAAAAUGUUUGUUGGCUCACGACAAAACUCGAGAAGUACAUGAACAAUUCUUGGAUGACAGAUCUGUGCUCGUUCUCGGGAGCACGUUUUCCUCUGUAGAUUUCAAAACUUUAUUCACUUCAUUGGGUAAUGACUUUGCAAUGGAAUAUGCAUUGUUGCUCUGCCACACAUGUUGGUCUUCAAAAGUGCCCCAUGCCAAUGUUCAAGGUAUAUUACGAAAUGAUGUAUUGCUUCUUAAUCGUAUUUACUGCAUUAAAUAUACUGUUGGUGUGUCUACUACUCUACUGUAAAGGUAUGUUUGUAAGAGGCAUCACAUUGCAAAACAUGUUAUGUAACUUAAGUCUAGAAGUAUGCACAUGUAAAGAAAGUGCAUGGGGGUUAUCAUUUUGAACCAUAUACUUAAUGAAGGGUCCGACAUGCUUUUAAUUGCUUCA
Molecule: long non-coding RNA, 2776 nt
Organism: Helianthus annuus (common sunflower)
Lineage: Eukaryota; Viridiplantae; Streptophyta; Magnoliopsida; Asterales; Asteraceae
Exons: 6
Source: RefSeq, a predicted model, not a curated record